UGAGCUGGCUAGGUGACCGCGGCAGAUGUCGAGGAACGUCCGGGCACCGCAGGGCAGAACGGUGGGUAACGCCCACCCGGGGCGACCCGCGGGAAAGUGCAACAGAAAGUAGACCGCCUGGCAACAGGUAAGGGUGAAAGGGUGGUGUAAGAGACCACCGGCGCUUUCGGUGACGGAGGCGGCCAGGUAAACCCCGUUCGGUGCAAGACCGCGCAGCAGGCGAGCGGCCCGCUCAACGCCUGCGGGUAGGUUGCUAGAGCCGCACGGCAACGUGCGGCCAAGAUAGAUGGUCACCACCGGUUCCUUUGGGAGCCGGCACAGAACCCGGCGUAUCGGCCGGCUCAUCCG
This 348-nucleotide RNase P RNA is filed under the name Bowdeniella nasicola. RNAcentral describes it as "Actinomyces nasicola Bacterial RNase P class A". It matches the Rfam family "Bacterial RNase P class A". From Rfam's summary of the family: Ribonuclease P (RNase P) is a ubiquitous endoribonuclease, found in archaea, bacteria and eukarya as well as chloroplasts and mitochondria. Its best characterised activity is the generation of mature 5'-ends of tRNAs by cleaving the 5'-leader elements of precursor-tRNAs. Lineage: Bacteria; Bacillati; Actinomycetota; Actinomycetes; Actinomycetales; Actinomycetaceae. The record is from RNAcentral.